UGGGGGAUAUUGCACAAUGGGCGAAAGCCUGAUGCAGCGACGCCGCGUGGGGGAUGAAAGCCUUCGGGUUGUAAACUUCUUUUGCUCUGAACAAGGCGCACCAUGGGGUGUGUUGAGUGUAGGGGUUGAUUAGCGCCGGCUAACUACGUGCCAGCAGCCGCGGUAAUACGUAGGGCGCGAGCGUUGUCCGGAAUUAUUGGGCGUAAAGGGCUUGUAGGUGGCUGGUUGCGUCUGUCGUGAAAGCUCAUGGCUUAACUGUGGGUUUGCGGUGGGUACGGGCUGGCUUGAGUGCAGUAGGGGAGGCUGGAAUUCCUGGUGUAGCGGUGGAAUGCGCAGAUAUCAGGAGGAAUACCGGUGGCGAAGGCGGGUCUCUGGGCUGUUACUGACACUGAGGAGCGAAAGCAUGGGGAGCGAACAGG
Molecule: ribosomal RNA, 419 nt
Filed under: bacterium
Lineage: Bacteria
Description: partial 16S ribosomal RNA
Rfam family: Bacterial small subunit ribosomal RNA
Source: RNAcentral